GACGAACGCUGGCGGCGUGCUUAACACAUGCAAGUCGAACGGAAAGGCCCUGCUUUUGUGGGGUGCUCGAGUGGCGAACGGGUGAGUAACACGUGAGUAACCUGCCCUUGACUUUGGGAUAACUUCAGGAAACUGGGGCUAAUACCGGAUAGGAGCUCCUGCUGCAUGGUGGGGGUUGGAAAGUUUCGGCGGUUGGGGAUGGACUCGCGGCUUAUCAGCUUGUUGGUGGGGUAGUGGCUUACCAAGGCUUUGACGGGUAGCCGGCCUGAGAGGGUGACCGGCCACAUUGGGACUGAGAUACGGCCCAGACUCCUACGGGAGGCAGAAGGGGGGAAUAUUGCACAAUGGGCGGAAGCCUGAUGCAGCAACGCCGGGUGCGGGAUGACGGCCUUCGGGUUGUAAACCGCUUUCGCCUGUGACGAAGCGUGAGUGACGGUAAUGGGUAAAGAAGCACCGGCUAACUACGUG
This 468-nucleotide ribosomal RNA is filed under the name uncultured bacterium. Its description in RNAcentral is "partial 16S ribosomal RNA". It matches the Rfam family "Bacterial small subunit ribosomal RNA", at positions 28 to 507 of the family's 1533-position model. The record is from RNAcentral.